CCCUUUGUACACACCGCCCGUCGCUACUACCGAUUGAAUGGCUCAGUGAGGCCUUCGGACUGGCCCAGGGAGGUCGGCAACGACCACCCAGGGCCGGAAAGUUGGUCAAACUCGGUCAUUUAGAGGAAGUAAAAGUCGUAACAAGGUCUCCGUAGGUGAACCUGCGGAGGGAUCAUUA
This 178-nucleotide ribosomal RNA is filed under the name Cercospora beticola. RNAcentral describes it as "partial 18S ribosomal RNA". It matches the Rfam family "Eukaryotic small subunit ribosomal RNA", at positions 1656 to 1831 of the family's 1831-position model. Lineage: Eukaryota; Fungi; Ascomycota; Dothideomycetes; Mycosphaerellales; Mycosphaerellaceae. RNAcentral also lists the same sequence under 6 other names. The record is from RNAcentral.